Long non-coding RNA from Osmia lignaria (orchard mason bee), 1558 nucleotides. RefSeq lists it as uncharacterized. The record is from RefSeq and is a predicted model, not a curated record. NCBI's taxonomy places the organism in Eukaryota, Metazoa, Arthropoda, Insecta, Hymenoptera, Megachilidae.
UCAAUAUUAAUGGCCUAAUCAGAACUCAGCAAUUUAACGAUUCAAUUAAUUCACGAUCCUCCUCCAUGUCACAACCGAGUAUAUGGCACAUGGAGAUGGAGUAAACCAGUGCCGCCGAUGAUCAUGUCAACCAAAGAUAAGAAACCGCGUGAAGCUUAAGCCAUAAACCAUACGCCAUAUAGAUGCGUAACCUUCGAGGAAUUUCGUAAAAUUUACAGUUCGUCCCAUUAUGUCUGUUGUCUAUUAAAUUAGUUAUCAAAUUAAUUAAUUGAUUAUUACACGGAACGUACAAGCGCCCGCGACUAAAUACAUCAGUAAAACACUUUCAAUAAAUUACAGUGAACGAAACCAAACACGAAUAGAAUGCAACGGAAGGUAACGAUAGCGGAAAACAUUCCGGUAUCUCACUAAAUAAAGUAAAGUACGCAACACUAUCCGUUGAUAAUAAUUACAAAUUAUCCUUAGUUGGUAACCAUCCGCAGCACCGGCAGCCAAAUAUUAUCGGCCACAAGCAUUCUACUUAUUUACCAUACAAUACUCGGCCGUUCAUCCCGUAACGGUUAUCCACCGACCAACUAUCCGCCGCGCAGCAGUUACCCACCGCGCGCCAGAUAUCUGCUACAUCUCAGUUACCGACAGCUAAACUAUCCGUCGCGCAACCGCGCCAUCCUAGGAAGCCAUACUUACCAUCAGACUUACCAUAAAAGAUAAGUCCGAUAUCCAAUACUAUUCACGGAAAGGUAAUUAUAAACGGACAAAUAAGACCCCAGACGGAUUAAAAUCAUGAAUAAAUCAAUUAAUAAAACAUUACCACGACUCACGGGAAAGGUAAUUAUAAAAGCAAACGGGCAACAAAUAGAACCCCAGACGGAUUAAAAUCAAGAAUAAAUCAAUUAAUAAAACAAUACCACGGCUAUCAUUUAUUAUUUAUAAAUAUAUAAAUCAUACGUUUGCAAUAGUGUAGGAUGAAGUAAAUGUUAAGUAUAAACAAUGAUGAAGAUAGAAUGAAAUGAAAGAAAUGAAAUCAACCCGAAUAAGAUCCGCAGAUUGCAGGACGCAUCAUGUUACUGCCUAUCGCGCCGCAGGAAACAAACUACGCAGAACAACGAAACAAAGAAACCACCACAGAACGAAAGGCUGAAUAAAUAAACGAAUGAAACAUUCAACCUAAACAGAAUCGAAAUCAAAUAUAGCCAUCUCACAACGUCAGAUAACGCAUAUAGUCAGGAAAGUCACGUAGGACCAAUCAUGUAACACCCAGUCAGUUAAUAAAUAAAUGUAACCAAAGUAGAAUCAAAGCAACCAAGGCAGCAGGUAACUAGCAGAAAGGAAAUAUAAAAGAAAAGAAGAGAAAAGAAACAAACAAGGAACAGCACACCGUCAUCAAAGAGCUAUACUAUUAUCGAAGAGAAACGGCUUGAAUAAAUUGAAUUAAAGAAUACCAGAGAAGAAUAUCAAAAUGUCAAAAUGUCCAAGGAAUGUCCAAGGAUAGAGGUGACAAGAAAUAAAAUAAAAUAAAUGAUGGUAGACAGUGAUACGUGGCACAAAUAAAUUAAAA